AACCGUGUGCUUACAAGUAGUCAGAGCCCGUUAAUGGGUGAUGGCGUGCCUUUUGUAGAAUGAACCGGCGAGUUACGAUUUGAUGCAAGGUUAAGCAGUAAAUGUGGAGCCGUAGCGAAAGCGAGUCUGAAUAGGGCGUUUAGUAUUUGGUCGUAGACCCGAAACCAGGUGAUCUACCCUUGGUCAGGUUGAAGUUCAGGUAACACUGAAUGGAGGAC
RNAcentral lists this ribosomal RNA (218 nucleotides) under Staphylococcus aureus. RNAcentral describes it as "partial 23S ribosomal RNA". It matches the Rfam family "Bacterial large subunit ribosomal RNA", at positions 554 to 774 of the family's 2925-position model. Lineage: Bacteria; Bacillati; Bacillota; Bacilli; Caryophanales; Staphylococcaceae. The record is from RNAcentral.